GACGAACGCUGGCGGCGUGCCUAAUACAUGCAAGUAGAACGCUGAAGGAGGAGCUUGCUUCUCUGGAUGAGUUGCGAACGGGUGAGUAACGCGUAGGUAACCUGCCUGGUAGCGGGGGAUAACUAUUGGAAACGAUAGCUAAUACCGCAUAAUAGUAGAUGUUGCAUGACAUUUGCUUAAAAGGUGCAAUUGCAUCACUACCAGAUGGACCUGCGUUGUAUUAGCUAGUUGGUGGGGUAACGGCUCACCAAGGCGACGAUACAUAGCCGACCUGAGAGGGUGAUCAGCCACACUGGGACUGAGACACGGCCCAGACUCCUACGGGAGGCAGCAGUAGGGAAUCUUCGGCAAUGGACGGAAGUCUGACCGAGCAACGCCGCGUGAGUGAAGAAGGUUGUCGGAUCGUAAAGCUCUGUUGUAAGAGAAGAACGAGUGUGAGAGUGGAAAGUUCACACUGUGACGGUAUCUUACCAGAAAGGGACGGCUAACUACGUG
This 495-nucleotide ribosomal RNA is filed under the name uncultured bacterium. Its description in RNAcentral is "partial 16S ribosomal RNA". It matches the Rfam family "Bacterial small subunit ribosomal RNA", at positions 28 to 507 of the family's 1533-position model. The record is from RNAcentral.